This 477-nucleotide ribosomal RNA is filed under the name uncultured bacterium. RNAcentral describes it as "partial 16S ribosomal RNA". It matches the Rfam family "Bacterial small subunit ribosomal RNA", at positions 29 to 507 of the family's 1533-position model. The record is from RNAcentral.
AUGAACGCUGGCGGCGUGCUUAACACAUGCAAGUCGAACGAGAAGUGGAGACGGAAACCUUCGGGCGGAAGACUUUACUUCGAGUGGCGGACGGGUGAGUAACGCGUGGGUAACCUGCCUCAUACAGGGGGAUAACAGUUGGAAACGACUGUUAAUACCGCAUAAGACCACAGCACCGCAUGGUGCGGGGGUAAAAACUCCGGUGGUAUGAGAUGGACCCGCGUUCGAUUAGCCAGUUGGCGGGGUAACGGCCCACCAAAGCGACGAGCGAUAGCCGAUCUGAGAGCAUGACCGGCCACAUUGGGACUGCGACCCGGCCCAAACUCCUACGGGAGGCAGCAGUGGGGAAUAUUGCACGCUGGGGGCAACCCUGAUGCAGCGACGCCGCGUGAGUGAAGAAGUAUUUCGGUAUGUAAAGCUCUAUCAGCAGGGAAGAAAAUGACAGUACCUGAGUAAGAAGCCCCGGCUAACUACGUG